This 253-nucleotide ribosomal RNA is filed under the name uncultured bacterium. RNAcentral's name for it is "partial 16S ribosomal RNA". It matches the Rfam family "Bacterial small subunit ribosomal RNA", at positions 524 to 776 of the family's 1533-position model. The record is from RNAcentral.
UACGGGGGGGGCAAGCGUUGUUCGGAAUUACUGGGCGUAAAGGGCUCGUAGGUGGCCAACUAAGUCAGACGUGAAAUCCCUCGGCUUAACCGGGGAACUGCGUCUGAUACUGGAUGGCUUGAGUUCGGGAGAGGGAGGCGGAAUUCCAGGUGUAGCGGUGAAAUGCGUAGAUAUCUGGAGGAACACCGGUGGCGAAGGCGGCAUCCUGGACCGACACUGACGCUGAGGAGCGAAAGCCAGGGGAGCAAACGGG